Molecule: ribosomal RNA, 497 nt
Filed under: uncultured bacterium
Lineage: Bacteria
Description: partial 16S ribosomal RNA
Rfam family: Bacterial small subunit ribosomal RNA
Source: RNAcentral
GAUGAACGCUGGCGGCGUGCCUAAUACAUGCAAGUCGAGCGAACAGACGAGGCGCUUGCCCCUCUUACGUUAGCGGCGGACGGGUGAGUACCACGUGGAUAACCUACCUAUAAGACUGAGAUAACUUCGCGAAACCGGAGCUAAUACCGGAUAAUAUAUUGAACCGCAUGGUUCAAUAGUGAAAGACGGUUUUGCUGUCACUUAUAGGUGGAUCCGCGCCGCAUUAGCUAGUUGGUAAGGUAACGGCCUACCAAGGCAACGAUGCGUAGCCGACCUGAGAGGGUGAUCGGCCACACUGGAACUGAGACACGGUCCAGACUCCUACGGGAGGCAGCAGUAGGGAAUCUUCCGCAAUGGGCGAAAGCCUGACGGAGCAACGCCGCGUGAGUGAUGAAGGUCUUCGGAUCGUAAAACUCUGUUAUUAGGGAAGAACAAAUGUGUAAGUAACUAUGCACGUCUUGACGGUACCUAAUGAGAAAGCCACGGCUAACUACGUG